RNAcentral lists this ribosomal RNA (236 nucleotides) under uncultured bacterium. Its description in RNAcentral is "partial 16S ribosomal RNA". It matches the Rfam family "Bacterial small subunit ribosomal RNA", at positions 100 to 334 of the family's 1533-position model. The record is from RNAcentral.
CGGCACGGGUGAGUAACACGUAUCCAACCUGCCGUCUACUCUUGGACAGCCUUCUGAAAGGAAGAUUAAUACAAGAUGGCAUCAUGAGUCCGCAUGUUCACAUGAUUAAAGGUAUUCCGGUAAACGAUGGGGAUGCGUUCCAUUAGAUAGUAGGCGGGGUAACGGCCCACCUAGUCUUCGAUGGAUAGGGGUUCUGAGAGGAAGGUCCCCCACAUUGGAACUGAGACACGGUCCAA